Notothenia coriiceps (black rockcod) is the source of this 573-nucleotide long non-coding RNA. RefSeq lists it as uncharacterized. The record is from RefSeq and is a predicted model, not a curated record. The transcript has 3 exons. NCBI's taxonomy places the organism in Eukaryota, Metazoa, Chordata, Actinopteri, Perciformes, Nototheniidae.
CGUUUCCCUUUUUUCGCAGUACCACAGGCUGCUAACUAAAAACAGCUAGUUUCUCUUUUAAAAAACACCUCCUUUUUUUGACAGGGUGUUUAAUGGCUUAUAAACUAAACUCCGGCUUUUGCUUUUUACCUUUUGUCUGCUUCCCGGGCUUUGUACAACUCUUUCAUGUCAGCUUGUGGUAGACUCCCAGCAGGCCUCUCUGUUCACCGGGGGAUCAUCAGUCCUCACGCCGCCCUAGUGUGCUUGCCGCUCGGCCACAGAGGCGGCAUGGGCCCGCUGUAUCGCUAGCCUCUGGAUAAAAGCUGUCAAAUUGUGGAGGAAGUGUUUUAGCUUGGAUGCUACUGCUACCGGUGACUGGCUGUCACAAUGAACGGUCCUCAGCAGAGUGACUCGAAGAGGCAGCACCUCCUGGAGAGGCUGCUGGACGCUGUCAAACAGUGCCAAAUCAGAUUUGGAGGAAGGAAGGAGAUCGCCACGGACUCAGACAGCAGGUACGAGAAGCUGUAGGAGUACUCUGUAAAUGUUAACAAGCAUAAGAAUCAUCUAAAUCAAAUCAAAUAUAUCUAAAGUUCA